UAUGAAAAAAACUAAUUUAGAAAGAAAACUUCAAUGAGAUUGUGUUGCAGUGUGACAAGGGAAGGAAAGCAGGUUGGAAACAGGCCCCUAUACUGCUGGGUGCAGCAAGGACAGGAAUUAAACCCGGAGCACAUGGAGCCCAUGCUGGGAUCUGCAGAACCCAAGCUUGGCCAAAAGGAUAUUGUUUGACCAGUUUUGAGUUUACUUAGCUCAGGCAGUGAAACUUGUCUGGCCAGAUUGUUUCUGUGUGCCCAUCAUGUAGAGGUUUGUACGCUUUAGAAUUGAAAGACACAGCUUAGAGGAGCGCUGUUUCAGCAGCACAGAGACAUUCCCUCAACCAGGAGAACUGGGUCUCUAAUUUCUGUGUGCUUCACUAUAGAUCUGCAUUUUCCAGGGAUUCUCCAUGAAAGAUGUGCCUCUGAAAAUCGGACUCUGUUAAGGUGUUUUGGUGGCAGAAGCUGGCAGCGCUCCCACUGGUCUUGAACUCCAUGGUUCAGCAGAGCAGCAGCUGUCUGGUGUGCUCCUUUUUAUGGAUUUUGUGGCUGGCCCAGUUCUGACCUCCUCAGCUAAAGCUGGACCUGAAUCAGGGAUGAUAUUUUGGCUGCACUCACUUGCACCUUUGUGGAGGAUGCUGCAUGAUGUGAUAAACACCUGUGGGCUGUAUGGGGGCACAGAGAGUGUUGGCAGAACUCAGGCUGCUUCUAAGCAAAAAUUUCUGCUAUGGUAUGUUUUCUGUUGCAGAGGAUCUUGAAAUAAAUAAAUACAGUGUUGUCUGUGAGAUGGGGCAGCAGCUGAGCUGCAAUGCAGCUGCAGGAAGAUGUGCAGGCAGCAGAGCCCCAGAGUGACAAAGACUGAGCAUCAGCUGAAGAAGCCACAUCUGUCCUCACCAGAGCCCGUUCUGCUUCUCCUGCUCGCUGCCACAGCCCCAUGGGGAGGAGAGCUGGCAGCUGGCCGGACCACCUCACAUCUUGCAGUGCAGCCUGGCCCUCUAAGAGUUGCAGCCUCACACUUGCAAGCAGGAGGCAGCGGCACUCCAACAUCCUCCACUGUCACCUGUCUGCUUCCCAUUGGUUUGCAGCAGCGCACACCGCUCCAGGAUGGGCACAAGGGGAUCAGCACUGAAAUCGCUGAUCCUCCUCCCAGGGCACUUUCAAGAAAACACUGCAAGAGCAGUGUGAG
Molecule: long non-coding RNA, 1179 nt
Filed under: Phasianus colchicus (ring-necked pheasant)
Lineage: Eukaryota; Metazoa; Chordata; Aves; Galliformes; Phasianidae
Description: lncRNA (ENSPCLG00000014699.1)
Source: RNAcentral